RNA transcript from Condylura cristata (star-nosed mole), 1048 nucleotides. RefSeq lists it as uncharacterized. Lineage: Eukaryota; Metazoa; Chordata; Mammalia; Eulipotyphla; Talpidae. The transcript has 4 exons. The record is from RefSeq and is a predicted model, not a curated record.
UGAAAAUUAUACAGGAGCUCGUUGUGAAGAGGUUUUUCUCCCAAGCUCCAGCAUCCAAAGUAAAAGUGACCUGUUUGUAUCAUUCCUGGCAUUGGCUGUUCUUCUGGCAACACUUAUUAUUGGAGCCCUCUACUUCCUUUGCAGGAAAGGCCACCUUCCGAGGGCAAAUCCAGUUCAGUAUGAUAACAGCCUGGUAGAGAUAAGCAGUGCCCCUGUCCACCAUGGUCAUGGAGGACCUUGAAGAAAUAUCUAAUUGAACCAAAUCAUUGCUUCUUUCUAAAAGACAAAAUGAAACACGGACUCGCAGAUUCAUACCCAUUUUCUACAAAUGAAAAUCAAACCAGUUAUCUAAUCUCACAAUGUUCAAUCAAAAGGAUUUGGCGUCUUUAUGAAAAUGUAUGGUAAAGUCAAUCUAGGUUACACUGUGUGUCCACACUGUUUGUAAGAGCAGGUUUUUUCCUUCUAAGUUUUUGUGGAUUUGGAUAUUGGACUUACAUUUUUUGGUGUUCACUUGUGUUAAAUUUGUAUUUACAUAUAGUAAAACUUGCUACAUGGCUUCCUUUACUAGGUUAAGAAGCUAGCAUAUUUGCCAGUGAUCUGGGUUUAAGCAAAGUUGAGAGAUCUGUACAGUAGAGUACUGGAUUCCCUUUAUCAGUAUAGGUGAAUGUAGAUUAUGUAACUGUGUACAAUGUAUCUACUACUGGUUUUAGUCCCAAGAUUUUCUUUACUCAGCCUCUUCUCCCCUUUAUAUUCUAUACCAAGAUUACAAGCUAAGGCUAAAUAUACUGUUCAUAACUGUGAAGCCUGACCUCUGAGAAACCCUAUGUCACUCUCCAGUAUUUUGUGGAAUGGCUACUAGCUAACUCCUUUGGUAAAAUGGCCUUAACUUGAAAAAAAAAAAAAAAUAAUCCUUUGAACUUCAGGCUUGUUUUGCUACUAUUUUCAAUUUCAAAAUCCCUUUACUAGUCAAACAACUCUGAUAACAUCAGGGACAAAGGAAGUUUAUGAAAUAUCCCUCCUAUGCUAUGUAAGCAUAUCCAAGAAUCCA